GUGGGGAAUAUUGGACAAUGGGCGAAAGCCUGAUCCAGCCAUGCCGCGUGUGUGAAGAAGGUCUUCGGAUUGUAAAGCACUUUAAGUUGGGAGGAAGGGUAGUAACCUAAUACGUUGCUACUUUGACGUUACCGACAGAAUAAGCACCGGCUAACUUCGUGCCAGCAGCCGCGGUAAUACGAAGGGUGCAAGCGUUAAUCGGAAUUACUGGGCGUAAAGCGCGCGUAGGUGGUUUUGUAAGUUGGAGGUGAAAUCCCCGGGCUCAACCUGGGAACUGCCUCCAAAACUGCAUGACUAGAGUACGGUAGAGGGUAGUGGAAUUUCCUGUGUAGCGGUGAAAUGCGUAGAUAUAGGAAGGAACACCAGUGGCGAAGGCGACUACCUGGACUGAUACUGACACUGAGGUGCGAAAGCGUGGGGAGCAAACAGGAUUAGAAACCCCUGUAGCC
This 449-nucleotide ribosomal RNA is filed under the name uncultured bacterium. RNAcentral describes it as "partial 16S ribosomal RNA". It matches the Rfam family "Bacterial small subunit ribosomal RNA", at positions 354 to 795 of the family's 1533-position model. The record is from RNAcentral.